AUUUGAAAUCUGGCGCAAGCCCGAGUUGUAAUUUGUAGAGGAUGCUUCUGGCCAGCGGCCGUUCUAAGUUCCUUGGAACAGGACGUCAUAGAGGGUGAGAAUCCCGUAUGUGACCGGCGCGCAGCCUUUACGUAGCUCCUUCGACGAGUCGAGUUGUUUGGGAAUGCAGCUCUAAAUGGGAGGUAAAUUUCUUCUAAAGCUAAAUACCGGCCAGAGACCGAUAGCGCACAAGUAGAGUGAUCGAAAGAUGAAAAGCACUUUGGAAAGAGAGUUAAAAAGCACGUGAAAUUGUUGAAAGGGAAGCGCUUGCAACCAGACUUCGUAGCGAUGUUCCGCUGGUCUUCUGACCGGUCUACUCAUCGUCGCGAGGCCAACAUSGUCUGGGCCCGCUGGAUAAGACCUAAGGAAUGUAGCUUCCCUCGGGAAGUGUUAUAGCCUGUGGUGAUGCAGCGCGGCUCGGGCGAG
This 465-nucleotide ribosomal RNA is filed under the name Paracercosporidium sp. Its description in RNAcentral is "partial large subunit ribosomal RNA". The record is from RNAcentral. Lineage: Eukaryota; Fungi; Ascomycota; Dothideomycetes; Mycosphaerellales; Mycosphaerellaceae.